AUUUGAUACUACUACUUGAUUUGAAAGCUAUGAAUUCUUUUUUUUAAAGCGGGUACAAAUAGAGUAACAAGUGGAAGAAGAAUAACGGGUAUAAAUGUUUAACCAUAUUGUGAGGCAUAUCGCAUGAGGGAUCAUAUACAAUGAGAAUGUAUGCAGGUAAAGUAUGUUCUUCAUGAU
Molecule: small RNA, 177 nt
Filed under: Arabidopsis thaliana (thale cress)
Lineage: Eukaryota; Viridiplantae; Streptophyta; Magnoliopsida; Brassicales; Brassicaceae
Description: ATSL150980
Source: RNAcentral